RNAcentral lists this ribosomal RNA (472 nucleotides) under uncultured bacterium. RNAcentral's name for it is "bacterial SSU rRNA". It matches the Rfam family "Bacterial small subunit ribosomal RNA", at positions 329 to 793 of the family's 1533-position model. The record is from RNAcentral.
ACCAGGACUCCUACGGGAGGCAGCAGUGGGGAAUAUUGCGCAAUGGGCGAAAGCCUGACGCAGCGACGCCGCGUGAGGGAUGAAGGUCUUCGGAUCGUAAACCUCCGUCAGCAGGGAAGAACGGUCACUGUGCUAAUCAGCAGUGAAUUGACGGUACCUGAGUAAGAAGCCCCGGCUAACUACGUGCCAGCAGCCGCGGUAAUACGUAGGGGGCAAGCGUUAUCCGGAAUUACUGGGUGUAAAGGGAGCGUAGACGGCAAUGCAAGUUCGGAGUGGAAUGCAUCAGCUCAACUGAUGAACUGCUCUGAAAACUGUAUAGCUAGAGUGCAGGAGGGGUAAGCGGAAUUCCUGGUGUAGCGGUGAAAUGCGUAGAUAUCAGGAGGAACACUGGUGGCGAAGGCGGCUUACUGGACUGUAACUGACGUUGAGGCUCGAAAGCGUGGGGAGCAAACAGGAUUAGAUACCCGAGUAC